UACGUAGGGGGCAAGCGUUGUCCGGAAUCAUUGGGCGUAAAGAGCGUGUAGGCGGUUCGGUAAGUCGGCUGUGAAAGUCCAGGGCUCAACCCUGGGAUGCCGGUCGAUACUGCCGGACUAGAGUUCGGAAGAGGCGAGUGGAAUUCCCGGUGUAGCGGUGAAAUGCGCAGAUAUCGGGAGGAACACCUAUGGCGAAGGCAGCUCGCUGGGACGGUACUGACGCUAAGGCGCGAAAGCGUGGGGAGCGAACAGG
RNAcentral lists this ribosomal RNA (253 nucleotides) under uncultured bacterium. RNAcentral describes it as "partial 16S ribosomal RNA". It matches the Rfam family "Bacterial small subunit ribosomal RNA", at positions 524 to 776 of the family's 1533-position model. The record is from RNAcentral.